ACUCCUGCGGGAGGCAGCAGUGGGGAAUAUUGCACAAUGGGCGCAAGCCUGAUGCAGCCAUGCCGCGUGUAUGAAGAAGGCCUUCGGGUUGUAAAGUACUUUCAGCGGGGAGGAAGGCAAUACGGUUAAUAACCGUGUUGAUUGACGUUACCCGCAGAAGAAGCACCGGCUAACUCCGUGCCAGCAGCCGCGGUAAUACAGAGGGUGCAAGCGUUAAUCGGAAUUACUGGGCGUAAAGCGCACGCAGGCGGUCUGUCAAGUCGGAUGUGAAAUCCCCGGGCUCAACCUGGGAACUGCAUUCGAAACUGGCAGGCUUGAGUCUUGUAGAGGGAGGUAGAAUUCCAGGUGUAGCGGUGAAAUGCGUAGAGAUCUGGAGGAAUACCGGUGGCGAAGGCGGCCCCCUGGACAAAGACUGACGCUCAGGUGCGAAAGCGUGGGGAGCAAACAGGAUUAGAAACCCGAGUAGUCCC
This 470-nucleotide ribosomal RNA is filed under the name uncultured organism. RNAcentral describes it as "partial 16S ribosomal RNA". It matches the Rfam family "Bacterial small subunit ribosomal RNA", at positions 335 to 797 of the family's 1533-position model. The record is from RNAcentral.